GCGGCAGUUUUGAGAUGUAAGCAGACAAAUGAACGUUGGGCAGGGUGCCCAGUGGAGUAAUUUUAUCAAAUAAAGUAUUAUGACCAAAAUGCCCCUAGAAUGUGCCUUUAUUCACGGCAUGCCCUUGGGACGUGCGGAGAACAGGGGAACUAAUAAGGAAAGAAGGGAGGGGUGUUUUGGUAACUAUGCAUUUCAACGGCCAAUACAACCUUAGGAAGGGAACUGUGGCACUGGAAUCAAUCUGUCAGAGAAGAGCAUUCCAGGGGAAACUGCCAAAAAUAUCCUCCCUUUUGGACAACUAUACCCUUCUCAAAC
This is a long non-coding RNA of Vitis riparia (riverbank grape), 315 nucleotides long. RefSeq lists it as uncharacterized. Lineage: Eukaryota; Viridiplantae; Streptophyta; Magnoliopsida; Vitales; Vitaceae. The transcript has 2 exons. The record is from RefSeq and is a predicted model, not a curated record.